Molecule: long non-coding RNA, 463 nt
Organism: Maniola jurtina (meadow brown)
Lineage: Eukaryota; Metazoa; Arthropoda; Insecta; Lepidoptera; Nymphalidae
Exons: 3
Source: RefSeq, a predicted model, not a curated record
GGGUGUUAUAAAUUUUUAAUUUACACUUGUUUCCAGUUAUUUCGUUGUUUUAAAUUGUGUUAGGUAGGUACGAAGGUAUUAUAGUCAAAUAUCAGGAUGCCGAAAAUAUCUCGACUAUAACGAUCCCAACUACAAAAGAUUGAAAGCAUGAAAAUCGCGUAAGUACCUACUUAUCUUCCCAUAUACCUAUUAUUACAUAAAAAUAUUGUGCGGCACACUAUUUUUUGGCCCGAUCCCUGGAAUUGAAUCCGAAACCUCGUCACCCAUAGUGGAACAUUGAAACUCCUGACUAACUAGGUACUACUACUUACUAUAAACGGUCGCGCCCCCGGCUUCGUACCUACGGCUUUUUUGAAAAUAAAUAAGUACAGCCUAUGUCACUCAGGAAUAAUGGUAGCUUUCUACUGAUGAAAGAAUUUUCAAAAUUGGAUCAGUAGUUCCAGAGAUUACUUCAUACAAACUU